RNAcentral lists this ribosomal RNA (253 nucleotides) under uncultured bacterium. RNAcentral describes it as "partial 16S ribosomal RNA". It matches the Rfam family "Bacterial small subunit ribosomal RNA", at positions 524 to 776 of the family's 1533-position model. The record is from RNAcentral.
UACAGAGGGUGCAAGCGUUGUUCGGAAUUACUGGGCGUAAAGGGCUCGUAGGCGGCCAACUAAGUCAGACGUGAAAUCCCUCGGCUUAACCGGGGAACUGCGUCUGAUACUGGAUGGCUUGAAUCCGGGAGAGGGAUGCGGAAUUCCAGGUGUAGCGGUGAAAUGCGUAGAUAUCAGGAGGAACACCAAUUGCGAAGGCAGCUCGCUGGGACGUUACUGACGCUGAGACGCGAAAGCGUGGGGAGCAAACAGG